Molecule: ribosomal RNA, 460 nt
Filed under: uncultured bacterium
Lineage: Bacteria
Description: partial 16S ribosomal RNA
Rfam family: Bacterial small subunit ribosomal RNA
Source: RNAcentral
CCUACGGGAGGCUGCAGUGAGGAAUAUUGGUCAAUGGGCGAAAGCCUGAACCAGCCAAGUCGCGUGAGGGAUGACGGCCCUACGGGUUGUAAACUGCUUUUAUACGGGAAUAACGCGCCUUACGUGUAGGGCUUUGCAUGUACCGUAUGAAUAAGGACCGGCUAAUUCCGUGCCAGCAACCGCGGUAAUACGGAAGGUCCGGGCGUUAUCCGGAUUUAUUGGGUUUAAAGGGAGCGUAGGCCGCAUGUCAAGCGUGCUGUGAAAUGUCCGGGCUCAACCCGGGCCCUGCAGUGGAAACUGGCGUGCUUGAGUGCGCGGGAAGCAGGCGGAAUGCGUGGUGUAGCGGUGAAAUGCUUAGAUAUGACGAAGAACCCCGAUUGCGAAGGCAGCUUGCUGCAGCGGAACUGACGCUGAUGCUCGAAAGCGUGGGUAUCGAACAGGAUUAGAUACCCGGGUAGUC